UACGUAGGGUGCAAGCGUUGUCCGGAAUUAUUGGGCGUAAAGAGCUCCUAGGCGGUUUGUCGCGUCUGCUGUGAAAACUCGGGGCUUAACCCCGGGCCUGCAGUGGGUACGGGCAGACUAGAGUGCGGUAGGGGAGACUGGAAUUCCUGGUGUAGCGGUGAAAUGCGCAGAUAUCAGGAGGAACACCGGUGGCGAAGGCGGGUCUCUGGGCCGUAACUGACGCUGAGGAGCGAAAGCGUGGGGAGCGAACAGG
Molecule: ribosomal RNA, 253 nt
Filed under: uncultured bacterium
Lineage: Bacteria
Description: partial 16S ribosomal RNA
Rfam family: Bacterial small subunit ribosomal RNA
Source: RNAcentral